RNAcentral lists this ribosomal RNA (272 nucleotides) under uncultured bacterium. Its description in RNAcentral is "partial 16S ribosomal RNA". It matches the Rfam family "Bacterial small subunit ribosomal RNA", at positions 335 to 600 of the family's 1533-position model. The record is from RNAcentral.
ACUCCUACGGGAGGCAGCAGUGGGAAUAUUGCACAAUGGGCGAAAGCCUGAUGCAGCCAUGCCGCGUGUGUGAAGAAGGCCCUAGGGUUGUAAAGCACUUUCAGCAGGGAGGAAAGGUUGUUAGUUAAUACCUGACAACUGUGACGUUACCUGCAGAAGAAGCACCGGCAAACUCCGUGCCAGCAGCCGCGGUAAUACGGAGGGUGCGAGCGUUAAUCGGAAUUACUGGGCGUAAAGCGCGCGUAGGUGGUUUGUUAAGCCAGAUGUGAAAG